This 383-nucleotide ribosomal RNA is filed under the name uncultured eukaryote. RNAcentral's name for it is "partial 18S ribosomal RNA". It matches the Rfam family "Eukaryotic small subunit ribosomal RNA", at positions 592 to 976 of the family's 1831-position model. The record is from RNAcentral.
CAAUAGCGUAUAUUAAAGUUGUUGCAGUUAAAAAGCUCGUAGUUGGAUUUCUGGCAGGAGCGGCCGGUCACACACUCUGUGUGUGAACUUGCGUUGUCUCUGGCCAUCCUUGGGAAGAUCCUGUUUGGCAUUAAGUUGUCGGGCAGGGGAUACCCAUCGUUUACUGUGAAAAAAUUAGAGUGUUUAAAGCAGGCUUAUGCCGUUGAAUAUAUUAGCAUGGAAUAAUAAGAUAGGACUUCGGAACUAUUUUGUUGGUUUGCGUUACGAAGUAAUGAUUAAUAGGGACAGUUGGGGGUAUUCGUAUUUCGUUGUCAGAGGUGAAAUUCUUGGAUUUCCGAAAGACGAACUACUGCGAAAGCAUUUACCAAGGAUGUUUUCAUUAA